AGCGAACGGCGGAGUAAGACAUGAACAACGUGCCCCUAAGUCCGGGACAAACGCAGAAAUGCCAUAAAUACCGGAUGUGGCCGAGCCUCGGCAUCGUGGCUCGAUUAAACGGAUUUUCGCUUAGGGAGCGGUUCAUGGCCUAUCAGGUAGUUGGUGGGGUAACGGCCUACCAAGCCGACGACAGGUAGCGGGUCUGAGAGGAUGAUCCGCCCGAGUGGGACUGAGACACGGCCCACACACCUACGGGUGGCAGCAGUUGGGAAUCUUGCACAAUGGGGGAAACCCUGAUGCAGCGACGCCGCGUGGAGGAUGAAGGGUCUAGGCCUGUAAACUCCUUUUACCGGGAAAGACUUAGGACGGUACCCGGGGAAUAAGGACCGGCUAACUACGUGCCAGCAGCCGCGGUAAU
Molecule: ribosomal RNA, 409 nt
Filed under: uncultured bacterium
Lineage: Bacteria
Description: bacterial SSU rRNA
Rfam family: Bacterial small subunit ribosomal RNA
Source: RNAcentral